Molecule: ribosomal RNA, 451 nt
Filed under: uncultured bacterium
Lineage: Bacteria
Description: partial 16S ribosomal RNA
Rfam family: Bacterial small subunit ribosomal RNA
Source: RNAcentral
AACGAACGCUGGCGGCAGGCUUAACACAUGCAAGUCGAACGGUUGUAGCAAUACAGCAGUGGCAGACGGGUGAGUAACACGUGGGAACCUUCCUAGGGGUACGGAACAACUCAGGGAAACUUGAGCUAAUACCGUAUACGUCCGUGAGGAGAAAGAUUUAUCGCCCUUAGACGGGCCCGUGUCGGAUUAGCUAGCUGGUGGGGUAACGGCCUACCAAGGCGACGAUCCGUAGCUGAUCUUAGAGGAUGAUCAGCCACACUGGGACUGAGACACGGCCCAGACUCCUACGGGAGGAAGCAGUGGGGAAUCUUGGACAAUGGGCGCAAGCCUGAUCCAGCCAUGCCGCGUGAGUGAAGAAGGUCUUCGGAUUGUAAAGCUCUUUUGCCAGGGACGAUAAUGACGGUACCUGGAGAAUAAGCCCCGGCAAACUUCGUGCCAGCCGCCGCCGUAA